This is a long non-coding RNA of Gasterosteus aculeatus aculeatus (three-spined stickleback), 5855 nucleotides long. The record is from Ensembl. Lineage: Eukaryota; Metazoa; Chordata; Actinopteri; Perciformes; Gasterosteidae.
ACACACACACACACACACACACACACAAAAUGGUAUUCAGAGAUCAUGUCCUAAAGGGUUGUUAUUGUCCUAACAUGGGCCGUACGUUGCCUGUCCACCAAUCCGAUCACACGGACCACUAAACCUCCACACUGCCCCCAACUGUGUGUGUGUGUGUGUCUGUCUGUUUGUUGCACGAGUGACUGACUGACAGCUGUCACAAAGCCUGAGAAGCAACAGACCGUACGUACGGUGUGAGUGUGUGUUUGUGGUACCCUGGGUUGGACGGAUUGUGUGUGUGUGUGUACAGGCCUGCGGACAUGAGAAAAGGUCAGUGUCUGCUAGCUAUUGGAAUGUUUGCUACGCUGGGCCGAUGUUGCAAACGCACAUUUGCCCGGAGAAGAAUGCUGAUUCGCAGCAGAUGGUAGUUGUUAAAGGGGGAUCGCACACAAACGCACACACACGCUCACACACACACACACACACACACACACACACUCACACACAUACGAUCACACCUGCUGACAAGGACAUGCCCCCACAUAGGAAAGACACAUGAAACGUUUGGAAAAAUACAAACAAAACUGAUUGAAAUUAAACAUAUUUUUGUUUUGGUUCAUCUUGUUAUUUCUUUAAUUCUUUAUUCAUUUUGCCUUUAUAAAUCAUUAUUAUUUUAAAAUGAAUCGUGCAUGUUCACAGAGCAUAUAAAACAGGCUGUCAAAUCACGUGCGGCUGUUGAUUUGUAUAUCAUUAGUUUUGUUCUGAUCAUUUCUGUGUUCAAAUGGCAAAAAAUGCAAAAAGCGGAUUCCUUUUCCUGAAGGCGCGAGGAAACGGAGUGAAAUCCAGGGGAAACCUGGCCGGCGAGCACACGGCCUGUUAUGUGUAGAUAAACACACACUGCACUCCAAAUCGCAUGAAUAAUACAGAACGGCACAUUUACAUGGCACAUUAACGGCCCUCAACCUGCUUGAUGUUUAAUUCCCACAAACACACAACGUGUCACUGAGAACGUCCCACACUUAGCGUUUCAUGUUUAUAUUCCAUCCUAUUAGUGACGCGCGCUCCGGCCUUCUGACACAAAGCACUGAACUGUAUCGCGGCAUUAUUGUUAUUCGUAGACCCUCAACUCCGUUCCACUUCCCUCGCUCAAGUGUGCCGGCAAUUUGGAGCAAAAGCACGGCGGGGGUCCGACGGCGGCGGGGGCGGGGGGGAGAGCGGCCGAGGCGACAAACGAGCCAAUUUGGAGACACAAAUGGCCGACCACGGCGCUCUGCCAUUGUUACACCGCAGAACAACGCGCAGGAGGCGAGGAGCGAAUGUGACAUCGGUGGCUCCGAGCGUGUCCCUGUUGGCCAAUACGCCGCCCAUCUGCAUGUGCGUGUGUGUUUGCUUUGAGUAAGUAAGAGGGUUAAUGCGUGAGAGGAAAUGUCCAUCCUCCCAAAGCAUGUGGCAGAACGUGGAGAGCAGCAUGAAUAAAUAAUGAGUUACUCAUUAGCUGUCACUCAUUGGAGAGGCGGAGUCAUCGGUGGCGGCCCUGAUUCAUUGCACUGAUACCCUCACUGCACCGUAUCUUCAGCCAACUCGCUCUAAAGCAAUGUGCUAAUUGAUAACACUACUUGCAACUGACACAAAAGGAUCAUGUGACAUAUCAACACAAACACGCACACCGACUCACAGACGAAAACCGAAUUGAAUGAACGAAAAAUGUAACUGACUUCCACCACGGUUAUACAAGAUUGCAUUGUUGCCGAUUCCUAAAUCCCGCCCUCUUGCUCCGUGAGGAAGCAGGAUGUUGUGAGGUGGAAUCUGAUGUGUGUUGUGAGGCCUUCUUGGUUUCCGAACCCGGCUUCUGAACAUGGACAUAGAGGUGACGCGUUGUGCCUAAACGUCAUCCGAGCAAUUGACAACAAUUGAUAAGAUUGUAAUUAAAGAAAUUACAUUCUCAGAUUUCAAUGAUCUUGGGAAGUAACUGAAAAAAAAAGGAAAUUUCCAAUUUAAAUGCCCCGUGGUUGACUCCCAGCAACCCUCACACCCCUGCUCCUGCCAACAUGGCGGCUGCCUGAUAAAUAGCCGUCCCUUGUGCCUAUAAACAACAAUCUCUCUCGCACACACACACGCACACACACACACACGGAAGGUGCUCAUUCUAGCCCACUAAUUCCUAUUCAUUUAAAACAGCCACCAGGGCACCGCGCAGCCUCGCCCGGCCCCCGACACCAGCCAUUCAUUAUUCAGCCGCUUGCUUUAUGAAUGGCUUACAGGUGGUUGCUACCAAGAGCAACAGAGCAGCGCCGCUCGUAAAUCACAACACACACACAAACACACACACAUGCACUUUCUUUUUCUUGUAAAACAUUUUUUGUACUAUUAUUAAGGAUGCACAGCCUUGUGUGGCUUUAUUUGCCCAACGUGGGGGUGCACGACAACGUCAAUUUCUCUCGAUGCUGUUUAAUUAGUAAUGAGGACAAAUAUUUGUUUGUUGCAGCACCGCGGGGCACGAAGUGAGGGGGGAGAGGAGUGGGGGGGCCCACAGGACUAAAUUAGUUUCCCUAUGUUUGUUGUCAGAAACAAGCUGUCUAACUCUUCUCUUUAUCUCCGAAGGCAACCAAUGACGGCCUCGAGACCGGCCGUGUGUGUGUGUGUGUGUGUGUGUGUGUGUGUGUGUGUGAAGGAGGCCGCUGUUUAACAUAGUCUGCGGUACAACUAAUAGAUCACGCUGCGUUACAUUUGUCAACGUGACACUUUCUCCCAUAUUGAGUUACACUCCGGGGCUUCUCCUCCGCGCUCUCCAUCGCACGCCUCGUCUUCCUCCUCUCUCGCCCUCUUCCUCCAUCCGUCUCUCUGCUCUUUCUCUCAACGCAAACCGUGACUCGGGCUCCUCGCGGCGAGGACGAGGGCGGGACCCGAGCAGCGGUGGCCGAGGUGCCCUCGCUGCCUCUCAUCCACCUGGCCGUGAUGGAUGGCGUGAUGGACUGAGCGCUCUCUGGGAGUUUUUUGGUCAAGUCAUGCGUCAGGGUCCCUCUCUUUCUUCUGUUGUGGACUGUGCUGGUGUUCAGUGAGGGAGUCACAAGGAGAGCGGCUUUAUAGGAACUUUUAAUGGAUUAGUACAGCGCUGGAGAUGUCGAUACUCUGUGAACCCGAAAGGAGGCGUUUAGCUCACCUGUGCACCUCCGAAUAGAUCAGAAAUGGACUUUUAUGUACAGUGCGAGUGUGUGUGUCUGCAUUGCGGUGGUGAUUGAUGGGGCCCCUCUCUGUCUUCCAGACGCUUCCACUCGGCUCGUCUUUCACUGCCAAGUCUCUGAUUCUGUUUCCACUCUGUCACUCACUCGCACACACCUACACAACCACACACACACACACACACAUAGACACUGUGUAUCUGUUUCUUUGUCCGUCAGUUACUCAGAAACAAACACAGCGAGAUAUGAAGGUGCAUCUAAUGAUGGUCACAGCAGCAAUGCACACACACACACACACACACACACACACACACACACUGGAUCCGUUUUGUUUUUCCAUGUGACCUCUCAAAGAAAAAAGCUUGUUUCAGGCCGUGCUGUCUUUGCAGUUGUCAGGUAGAUAUCUAUAUAAAUGAUAUAUAUCGUGUGUGUGUGUUUGUGUGUGUCUGUUUGGGGUGACCACAUUUAACUGGAUCCCUAAAUAAAAUGGCGGUUUCUAAAAGCUCUUACACAAUCUUCAGGGUUGUUUGUUUUCUAUUCUCUCGGCCGGUUGCUUUGGUAAAACCACGAUAGAAAUGUGUGGGAUCGCUUCACAACACCAAGGGGUAACAUCGACUGAUGCAGGGGGGGAUGUAUGACCUGUUAGGACUUCUUCUCUAGACUGCUUCAUCCUGCAGGUGUAAUCCCGCCGUGUCGCAAACCGUGCUUCCCCUUGGAUUGACGAGGUCGAGAGGAAGCCCGGAGCAAAACUUUUCUUCAAUACCUAAAUGAAACGCCAGCACUCCACUGUAUUCAUUGUGCCGCGCAGCUGUUUGUGCGCUCUUUGCUGACACUGACUUCUGACACUGACACCGAAUUCUGAUGUUUACAACUGACUUCUGACUUCAGCUGACAGACAAUCCGGUGUAACGCUGUAAAUGGAGGCUCUGCAGUGACCAUGUUAAACUAGCUUGUUGUGUAGCAGUCAGAGACUAACUGACCCCCCUGAAAAGCAGCCGGCUGUGAGGUUUGGAGAAUACAUGGGUCUAACUACCUGGACACACACACACACACUCGCAUGCGCUGUGAUUCAUAACCCAGUGCGCUGCCUGCUGACACAAAGGCGAUAGGAGCUGCAGCUUGUACAAGCCUGGACUUUUAUUCCUUUCAAUUUGUCUUGCUUAAAAAACAAACCGGCCGUGAGCCAGUGAAUAAAUAAAUAAAGCGGUACGCGCCAAGGGAGGGAGCAAGGAUGGAUGAAUGGCCCCGUCUCAGCAGUGAGGAGGGGGGAUAGACCUACCUUGGAGAAGAAAGUCUGGGAUAUAUAUACAGUGGGGAGAAGUAUUUGAAUUGUAUUUGUAUUUGACACUGCAGGAUUUCCCCCUUACAAAGCAUGUAGCACUCUGUAAUUUGUAUCAUAGGUACUCUUCUACUCCUCUCUGGGAACCGUCACCUUAUCGUGGUGGAGAGGUUUGUGUGUCCCUAUGACCCUGAGGGCUGUGUUGUCGGGAGCAUUUUGCUCCUGGUAGGGUUAGCCUUGGCAAAGUGGUCUCAGGCGAGGGGCCAGACUAAGAAUGGUUCAAAAAGACCCUAUGAAAAAACGGAAGAGGGAAGGAGUUACCUGGCCCGGAGGGAGCCCGGGGCCCCCAUUUGGAGCCAGGCCCAGAUGGAGGGCCCGACAGCGAGCGUCUGGUGGCCAGGUUUACCGCGGAGCCCCGCCGGGCACAGCCCGAAGGACUGUGUUAAGCACCCUAACACUCUACUCCCCAUGGGCUCACCACCUGUGGGGGAAACCGAUGGGGUCGAUUGCGCUGCUACAAGGGUGGCAGUGACAGUGGGGGGUCUAGACGGAAAAGACCUGGGCGGCAGAUGCUGGCUCUGGGGACGUGGGACGUAACCUCUCUGGAUCUGGUGGGGCUUACCUCUACGCACAGCCUCUCUGGAACCACACUCCUGGAUAGGGGAUGGACUCUAUUCUACUCCUGAGUAGCCCAUGUUGUGAGGCGCCAGGCGCGUGUGGGGAUACUCAUAAGUCCCUGGCUGAGUGCUGCUACAUUGGAUUUUACCCCGCCGUGACACUACGCCUUCGGGUGGUGGGGGGGAAAACUCUGACUGUUGUCUGUGCAUAUGCACCAAACAGCAGCUCAGAGUAUUCGGCCUUUUUGGAGACCCUGAAUGGAGUCCUGCAUGGGGCUCCUGUAGGGGACUCCAUAGUCCUACUGGGAGACUUCAAUGCGCACGUGGGCGACGAUGGAGAUAACUGGAGAGGCGUGAUUGGGAGGAAUGGCCUCCCUGAUCUGAACCCGAGCGGGUGUUUGUUACUGGACUUCUGUGCUAUUCACGGAUUGUCCAUAACAAACACCAUGUUCGAACAUAAGGAUGUUCAUAAGUGUACGUGGUACCAGAGCACCCUAGGCCAAAGAUCAAUGAUCGAUUUUGUAAUCGUAUCGUCUGAUCUGAGGCCGCAUGUUCUGGACACUCGGGUAAAGAGAGGGGCAGAGCUGUCAACUGAUCACCAUCUGGUUGUGAGCUGGGUCAGAGGAUGGGGGAAGACUCGGGACAGACCCGGUAAACCCAAGCGUGUAGUGAGGGUGAACUGGGAACGUCUGGAGGAGGCCCCGGUCCAAAAGAUUUUCAACUCACACCUCCGGCGGAGCUUCUCUCACAUUCCUGUGGAGGUAGGGGACAUUGAACCAGAGUGGUCUAUGUUCAAACCCU